AAACUCUCUCAUGCUAGAGUGUACUGGAGGUACGUGGNNCGUGUGGUG
This 48-nucleotide ribosomal RNA is filed under the name Porphyromonas asaccharolytica. RNAcentral describes it as "partial ribosomal RNA". The record is from RNAcentral. Lineage: Bacteria; Pseudomonadati; Bacteroidota; Bacteroidia; Bacteroidales; Porphyromonadaceae.